This 621-nucleotide ribosomal RNA is filed under the name Nocardiopsis valliformis. Its description in RNAcentral is "bacterial SSU rRNA". It matches the Rfam family "Bacterial small subunit ribosomal RNA", at positions 243 to 863 of the family's 1533-position model. The record is from RNAcentral. Lineage: Bacteria; Bacillati; Actinomycetota; Actinomycetes; Streptosporangiales; Nocardiopsidaceae.
ACCUUGUUGGUGGGGUAGCGGCCUACCAAGGCGAUUACGGGUAGCCGGCCUGAGAGGGCGACCGGCCACACUGGGACUGAGACACGGCCCAGACUCCUGCGGGAGGCAGCAGUGGGGAAUAUUGCGCAAUGGGCGAAAGCCUGACGCAGCGACGCCGCGUGGGGGAUGACGGCCUUCGGGUUGUAAACCUCUUUUACCACCAACGCAGGCUCCGGGUUCUCUCGGGGUUGACGGUAGGUGGGGAAUAAGGACCGGCUAACUACGUGCCAGCAGCCGCGGUAAUACGUAGGGUCCGAGCGUUGUCCGGAAUUAUUGGGCGUAAAGAGCUCGUAGGCGGCGUGUCGCGUCUGCUGUGAAAGACCGGGGCUUAACUCCGGUUCUGCAGUGGAUACGGGCAUGCUAGAGGUAGGUAGGGGAGACUGGAAUUCCUGGUGUAGCGGUGAAAUGCGCAGAUAUCAGGAGGAACACCGGUGGCGAAGGCGGGUCUCUGGGCCUUACCUGACGCUGAGGAGCGAAAGCAUGGGGAGCGAACAGGAUUAGAUACCCUGGUAGUCCAUGCCGUAAACGUUGGGCGCUAGGUGUGGGGACUCCACGGUCCGCGCCGAGAAGGCCCGACCACAA